CUACAGGCUUAACACAUGCAAGUCGAGGGGCAGCAUGGUCUUAGCUUGCUAAGGCCGAUGGCGACCGGCGCACGGGUGAGUAACACGUAUCCAACCUGCCGUCUACUCUUGGACAGCCUUCUGAAAGGAAGAUUAAUACAAGAUGGCAUCAUGAGUCCGCAUGUUCACAUGAUUAAAGGUAUUCCGGUAGACGAUGGGGAUGCGUUCCAUUAGAUAGUAGGCGGGGUAACGGCCCACCUAGUCUUCGAUGGAUAGGGGUUCUGAGAGGAAGGUCCCCCACAUUGGAACUGAGACACGGUCCAAACUCCUACGGGAGGCAGCAGUGAGGAAUAUUGGUCAAUGGGCGCAGGCCUGAACCAGCCAAGUAGCGUGAAGGAUGACUGCCCUAUGGGUUGUAAACUUCUUUUAUAAAGGAAUAAAGUCGGGUAUGGAUACCCGUUUGCAUGUACUUUAUGAAUAAGGAUCGGCUAACUCCGUGCCAGCAGCCGCGGUAAUACGGAGGAUCCGAGCGUUAUCCGGAUUUAUUGGGUUUAAAGGGAGCGUAGAUGGAUGUUUAAGUCAGUUGUGAAAGUUUGCGGCUCAACCGUAAAAUUGCAGUUGAUACUGGAUAUCUUGAGUGCAGUUGAGGCAGGCGGAAUUCGUGGUGUAGCGGUGAAAUGCUUAGAUAUCACGAAGAACUCCGAUUGCGAAGGCAGCCUGCUAAGCUGCAACUGACAUUGAGGCUCGAAAGUGUGGGUAUCAAACAGGAUUAGAUACCCUGGUAGUCCACACGGUAAACGAUGAAUACUCGCUGUUUGCGAUAUACGGCAAGCGGCCAAGCGAAAGCGUUAAGUAUUCCACCUGGGGAGUACGCCGGCAACGGUGAAACUCAAAGGAAUUGACGGGGGCCCGCACAAGCGGAGGAACAUGUGGUUUAAUUCGAUGAUACGCGAGGAACCUUACCCGGGCUUAAAUUGCAGAUGAAUUACGGUGAAAGCCGUAAGCCGCAAGGCAUCUGUGAAGGUGCUGCAUGGUUGUCGUCAGCUCGUGCCGUGAGGUGUCGGCUUAAGUGCCAUAACGAGCGCAACCCUUGUUGUCAGUUACUAACAGGUUCCGCUGAGGACUCUGACAAGACUGCCAUCGUAAGAUGUGAGGAAGGUGGGGAUGACGUCAAAUCAGCACGGCCCUUACGUCCGGGGCUACACACGUGUUACAAUGGGGGGUACAGAGGGCCGCUACCACGCGAGUGGAUGCCAAUCCCAAAAACCUCUCUCAGUUCGGACUGGAGUCUGCAACCCGACUCCACGAAGCUGGAUUCGCUAGUAAUCGCGCAUCAGCCACGGCGCGGUGAAUACGUUCCCGGGCCUUGUACACACCGCCCGUCAAGCCAUGGGAGCCGGGGGUACCUGAAGUGCGUAACCGCGAGGAGCGCCCUAGGGUAAAACUGGUGACUGGGGCU
RNAcentral lists this ribosomal RNA (1438 nucleotides) under uncultured organism. RNAcentral's name for it is "SSU rRNA". It matches the Rfam family "Bacterial small subunit ribosomal RNA". The record is from RNAcentral.